RNAcentral lists this ribosomal RNA (440 nucleotides) under uncultured bacterium. RNAcentral's name for it is "partial 16S ribosomal RNA". It matches the Rfam family "Bacterial small subunit ribosomal RNA", at positions 338 to 795 of the family's 1533-position model. The record is from RNAcentral.
CCUACGGGCGGCAGCAGUGAGGAAUAUUGCACAAUGGGGGAAACCCUGAUGCAGCGACGCCGCGUGAGCGAUGAAGUAUUUCGGUAUGUAAAGCUCUAUCAGCAGGGAAGAAAAUGACGGUACCUGACUAAGAAGCCCCGGCUAACUACGUGCCAGCAGCCGCGGUAAUACGUAGGGGGCAAGCGUUAUCCGGAUUUACUGGGUGUAAAGGGAGCGUAGACGGCGGUACAAGUCUGAAGUGAAAUGCCGGGGCUUAACCCCGGGACUGCAUUUGAAACUGUGCAGCUAGAGUGUCGGAGAGGCAGGCGGAAUUCCUAGUGUAGCGGUGAAAUGCGUAGAUAUUAGGAGGAACACCAGUGGCGAAGGCGGCCUGCUGGACGGUAACUGACGUUGAGGCUCGAAAGCGUGGGGAGCAAACAGGAUUAGAUACCCCAGUAGUC